This 85-nucleotide transfer RNA is filed under the name Candidatus Peregrinibacteria bacterium. RNAcentral's name for it is "tRNA-Leu". It matches the Rfam family "tRNA". From Rfam's summary of the family: Transfer RNA (tRNA) molecules are approximately 80 nucleotides in length. RNAcentral also lists the same sequence under 1 other name. Lineage: Bacteria; Candidatus Peregrinibacteriota. The record is from RNAcentral.
GCCCGGGUGGCGGAACUGGUAGACGCGCACGACUCAAAAUCGUGUUCCUUCGGGAGUGAGAGUUCGAUUCUCUCCUCGGGCACCA